UACGAAGGGGGCUAGCGUUGUUCGGAAUUACUGGGCGUAAAGCGCGCGCAGGCGGCCUUCCAAGUCAGUGGUGAAAGCCCGGAGCUCAACUCCGGAACUGCCAUUGAAACUGUGAGACUUGAGUACGAGAGAGGUGAGUGGAAUUCCCAGUGUAGAGGUGAAAUUCGUAGAUAUUGGGAAGAACACCGGUGGCGAAGGCGGCUCACUGGCUCGUAACUGACGCUCAGGCGCGACAGCGUGGGGAUCAAACAGG
RNAcentral lists this ribosomal RNA (253 nucleotides) under uncultured bacterium. RNAcentral's name for it is "partial 16S ribosomal RNA". It matches the Rfam family "Bacterial small subunit ribosomal RNA", at positions 524 to 776 of the family's 1533-position model. The record is from RNAcentral.